Molecule: ribosomal RNA, 1239 nt
Filed under: Bacillus subtilis
Lineage: Bacteria; Bacillati; Bacillota; Bacilli; Caryophanales; Bacillaceae
Description: bacterial SSU rRNA
Rfam family: Bacterial small subunit ribosomal RNA
Source: RNAcentral
UCGAGCGGACAGACGGGAGCUCGGCUCCCUGAUGUUAGCGGCGGACGGGUGAGUAACACGUGGGUAACCUGCCUGUAAGACUGGGAUAACUCCGGGAAACCGGGGCUAAUACCGGAUGGUUGUUUGAACCGCAUGGUUCAAACAUAAAAGGUGGCUUCGGCUACCACUUACAGAUGGACCCGCGGCGCAUUAGCUAGUUGGUGAGGUAACGGCUCACCAAGGCAACGAUGCGUAGCCGACCUGAGAGGGUGAUCGGCCACACUGGGACUGAGACACGGCCCAGACUCCUACGGGAGGCAGCAGUAGGGAAUCUUCCGCAAUGGACGAAAGUCUGACGGAGCAACGCCGCGUGAGUGAUGAAGGUUUUCGGAUCGUAAAGCUCUGUUGUUAGGGAAGAACAAGUACCGUUCGAAUAGGGCGGUACCUUGACGGUACCUAACCAGAAAGCCACGGCUAACUACGUGCCAGCAGCCGCGGUAAUACGUAGGUGGCAAGCGUUGUCCGGAAUUAUUGGGCGUAAAGGGCUCGCAGGCGGUUUCUUAAGUCUGAUGUGAAAGCCCCCGGCUCAACCGGGGAGGGUCAUUGGAAACUGGGGAACUUGAGUGCAGAAGAGGAGAGUGGAAUUCCACGUGUAGCGGUGAAAUGCGUAGAGAUGUGGAGGAACACCAGUGGCGAAGGCGACUCUCUGGUCUGUAACUGACGCUGAGGAGCGAAAGCGUGGGGAGCGAACAGGAUUAGAUACCCUGGUAGUCCACGCCGUAAACGAUGAGUGCUAAGUGUUAGGGGGGUUUCCGCCCCUUAGUGCUGCAGCUAACGCAUUAAGCACUCCGCCUGGGGAGUACGGUCGCAAGACUGAAACUCAAAGGAAUUGACGGGGGCCCGCACAAGCGGUGGAGCAUGUUGGUUUAAUUCGAAGCAACGCGAAGAACCUUACCAGGUCUUGACAUCCUCUGACAUCCUAGAGAUAGGACGUCCCCUUCGGGGGCAAAGUGACAGGGGUUGCAUGGUUGUCGUCAGCUCUGUCCUGAGAAGUUUGGGUUAAGUCCCGCAACGAGCGCAACCCUUGAUCUUAGUUGCCAGCAUUCAGUUGGGCACUCUAAGGUGACUGCCGUGACAACCCCAGAAAAAGGGGGGGAUGAAGUCAAAUCAUCAGGCCCCUUAUAACUGGGGUACAACCUGGUUAAAUGGAAGGAACAAGGGAGCGAAACCCCCGGGUUAGCAAUCCCCAAAUUUGUUCUC